UGGGGAAUAUUGGACAAUGGGCGCAAGCCUGAUCCAGCCAUGCCGCGUGAGUGACGAAGGCCUUAGGGUUGUAAAGCUCUUUUGGCGGGGAAGAUAAUGACGGUACCCGCAGAAUAAGCUCCGGCUAACUUCGUGCCAGCAGCCGCGGUAAUACGAAGGGAGCUAGCGUUGUUCGGAAUCACUGGGCGUAAAGCGCACGUAGGCGGACUUAUAAGUCAGGGGUGAAAUCCCGGGGCUCAACCUCGGAACUGCCUCUGAUACUGUGAGUCUCGAGACCGGAAGAGGUGAGUGGAAUUCCUAGUGUAGAGGUGAAAUUCGUAGAUAUUAGGAAGAACACCAGUGGCGAAGGCGGCUCACUGGUCCGGUUCUGACGCUGAGGUGCGAAAGCGUGGGGAGCAAACAGGAUUAGAUACCCUAGUAGUCCCUGAGCGGGCUGGCAAGGCGCAU
This 447-nucleotide ribosomal RNA is filed under the name uncultured bacterium. RNAcentral describes it as "bacterial SSU rRNA". It matches the Rfam family "Bacterial small subunit ribosomal RNA", at positions 355 to 825 of the family's 1533-position model. The record is from RNAcentral.